UGGGGAAUCUUCCGCAAUGGACGAAAGUCUGACGGAGCAACGCCGCGUGAGUGAUGAAGGAUUUCGGUCUGUAAAGCUCUGUUGUUUAUGACGAACGUGCAGUGUGUGAACAAUGCAUUGCAAUGACGGUAGUAAACGAGGAAGCCACGGCUAACUACGUGCCAGCAGCCGCGGUAAUACGUAGGUGGCGAGCGUUGUCCGGAAUUAUUGGGCGUAAAGAGCAUGUAGGCGGCUUAAUAAGUCGAGCGUGAAAAUGCGGGGCUCAACCCCGUAUGGCGCUGGAAACUGUUAGGCUUGAGUGCAGGAGAGGAAAGGGGAAUUCCCAGUGUAGCGGUGAAAUGCGUAGAUAUUGGGAGGAACACCAGUGGCGAAGGCGCCUUUCUGGACUGUGUCUGACGCUGAGAUGCGAAAGCCAGGGUAGCGAACGGGAUUAGAUACCCCGGUAGUCCUGGCCGUAAACGAUGGGUACUAGGUGUAGGAGGUAUCGACCCCUUCUGUGCCGGAGUUAACGCAAUAAGUACCCCGCCUGGGGAGUACGGCCGCAAGGUUG
This 550-nucleotide ribosomal RNA is filed under the name uncultured Phascolarctobacterium sp. RNAcentral's name for it is "bacterial SSU rRNA". It matches the Rfam family "Bacterial small subunit ribosomal RNA", at positions 355 to 896 of the family's 1533-position model. The record is from RNAcentral. Lineage: Bacteria; Bacillati; Bacillota; Negativicutes; Acidaminococcales; Acidaminococcaceae.